RNAcentral lists this ribosomal RNA (465 nucleotides) under uncultured bacterium. RNAcentral describes it as "partial 16S ribosomal RNA". It matches the Rfam family "Bacterial small subunit ribosomal RNA", at positions 28 to 506 of the family's 1533-position model. The record is from RNAcentral.
GAUGAACGCUGGCGGCGUGCUUAACACAUGCAAGUCGAACGGAAAGGCUCCUGCUUGCAGGGGUACUCGAGUGGCGAACGGGUGAGUAACACGUGGGUGAUCUGCCCUGCACUUCGGGAUAAGCCUGGGAAACUGGGUCUAAUACCGGAUAGGACGAUGGUUUGGAUGCCAUUGUGGAAAGUUUUUCGGUGUGGGAUGAGCUCGCGGCCUAUCAGCUUGUUGGUGGGGUAAUGGCCUACCAAGGCGUCGACGGGUAGCCGGCCUGAGAGGGUGUACGGCCACAUUGGGACUGAGAUACGGCCCAGACUCCUACGGGAGGCAGCAGUGGGGAAUAUUGCACAAUGGGCGCAAGCCUGAUGCAGCGACGCCGCGUGGGGGAUGACGGCCUUCGGGUUGUAAACUCCUUUCGCUAGGGACGAAGCGUUUUGUGACGGUACCUGGAGAAGAAGCACCGGCUAACUACGU